UUAAGCCCACGUUUUCUGGACUUGGUGAAGGUCAACACGGGCUAGGUCUGGCCUGUUUCAGCCCUCUCCUCCUCUUUCCUUCUUCCAAAAAUGAAAUGCACCUCUGCUGAAAAUCAAACCUCUGACCACCCAGCUAAGGGCUUGACCUUCUUCCACCACACCUUUGCUUUUCUUUAAUAUUUUUUUUUUCAAAUUUUGAUAUCCUAAACGGUGCCAUGGAAAUCCCAGAAACCUGCCACCACCUUUACCACCAAGCGGAAACGCCAACACCAGGAAGAUCCUUGUCAGCUGACUUGGAUCUCUUCUCCACUAUACCUCGGCUAGAAACCCAAAGAUGAACCCUUAACUCGAACCUAAACCACCCGAACUUUCGAAACUAUCCUUGGUUCUUUCCCUCAAAACCUCAAGAACCAAACGAUUAAUGAUCCCUUUCAACCUCCCACCAUUCUUUCCAUUUUUUUGCUAUAUUUUUUGUGUUGCUAACGGCUGCUAGUUCCAGGGCCCUUUUUUCUUGGGGUUUUCUCUUAAGGAAGAUUAGUUGGGAAUUGGAAGUGGUGGUUAGAGUCUAGGUCCUUAGACUCUAGGAGAUCAUCGAAAUCAUCAUCAUUGCCAUGGGUUUUGUUCUUCCUCUGAUACUUGGAGGUGCUGCAGAAAACCAAAUGGGUUGGCAUUUUGUCUUUUGAGUUUACUAAGCCUGCCUGAAACAACAGAGGAUGCAGAAUGAGAAGAAUGAAGAAAAUGAAAUUGCAUUGUAUGCCAUGAUUAAGCUAUAGCUUCUUAAUUGCUUUCGUGGACACAGCAUCUGCUCAUACGCUGUCCCUACUUAUAGCCAACUUACAAUGCCAAAAGAAAAGAAUCCAAGAUUAUGAACAGAAUAGUUCAAUAGCUAGGUCUUGUAUUGUGCCUAAACAAUCAGUCUUUGUUUGCAAUAUGAGUUCACUGGCUAGCUUAAACAAUG
This is a long non-coding RNA of Theobroma cacao (cacao), 958 nucleotides long. RefSeq lists it as uncharacterized. The record is from RefSeq and is a predicted model, not a curated record. NCBI's taxonomy places the organism in Eukaryota, Viridiplantae, Streptophyta, Magnoliopsida, Malvales, Malvaceae.